RNAcentral lists this ribosomal RNA (495 nucleotides) under uncultured bacterium. Its description in RNAcentral is "partial 16S ribosomal RNA". It matches the Rfam family "Bacterial small subunit ribosomal RNA", at positions 28 to 507 of the family's 1533-position model. The record is from RNAcentral.
GACGAACGCUGGCGGCGUGCCUAAUACAUGCAAGUAGAACGCUGAAGGAGGAGCUUGCUCUUCUGGAUGAGUUGCGAACGGGUGAGUAACGCGUAGGUAACCUGCCUGGUAGCGGGGGAUAACUAUUGGAAACGAUAGCUAAUACCGCAUAACAGUAGAUGUUGCAUGACAUUUACUUAAAAGGUGCAAUUGCAUCACUACCAGAUGGACCUGCGUUGUAUUAGCUAGUUGGUGGGGUAACGGCUCACCAAGGCGACGAUACAUAGCCGACCUGAGAGGGUGAUCGGCCACACUGGGACUGAGACACGGCCCAGACUCCUACGGGAGGCAGCAGUAGGGAAUCUUCGGCAAUGGACGGAAGUCUGACCGAGCAACGCCGCGUGAGUGAAGAAGGUUGUCGGAUCGGAAAGCUCUGUUGUAAGAGAAGAACGAGUGUGAGAGUGGAAAGUUCACACUGUGACGGUAUCUUACCAGAAAGGGACGGCUAACUACGUG